This 945-nucleotide non-coding RNA is filed under the name Indostomus paradoxus (armoured stickleback). RNAcentral describes it as "12S rRNA". It matches the Rfam family "Bacterial small subunit ribosomal RNA". Lineage: Eukaryota; Metazoa; Chordata; Actinopteri; Synbranchiformes; Indostomidae. The record is from RNAcentral.
CACAGGUUUGGUCCUGGCUUUUCUAUCAAUUCUAGCCGAGCUUAUACAUGCAAGUCUCCGCCCCCCAGUGAGAAUGCCCCCCCCGUCUUCCCCGCCGAAGACAAGGAGCCGGCAUCAGGCACAACCACCCUUAGCCCACGACGCCUUGCUUAGCCACACCCCCAAGGGGCUCCAGCAGUAACAAACAUUAGGCCAUAAGUGAAAACUUGACCUAGCCACGGUUAUUCGGGCCGGUAAAACUCGUGCCAGCCACCGCGGUUAUACGAGAGACCCAAACUGAUAGAUCACGGCGUAAAGCGUGGUUAAAGCACAAACAAAAUAAAGCCAAACACUUCCACAGUCGUUAUACACAACCGAAAGUUAGAAGACCAGCUACGAAAGUGGCUUUAAACACUUGACCCCACGAAAGCUAAGGCACAAACUGGGAUUAGAUACCCCACUAUGCUUAGCCCUAAACAUAAAUAGCACCCCACCUCCGCUAUUCGCCCGGGAACUACUAGCCCCAGCUUUAAACCCAAAGGACUUGGCGGUGCUUAAAAUCCAACUAGAGGAGCCUGUUCUAUAAUCGAUAACCCCCGCUCAACCUCACCUUCCCUUGCCCUCAGUCUAUAUACCGCCGUCGUCAGCUUACCCUUUGAGGAACUUAAAGUAAGCCUAAUUGGCACAGCCCAAAACGCCAGGUCAAGGUGUAGCAUACGAGAAGGAAAGAAAUGGGCUACAUUCUCUAACACUAGCAGACACGAAUUAUGCGUUGAAACCCGCACAUGAAGCAGGAUUUAGAAGUAAGCAGAAAAUAGAGCGUUCUACUGAAACCGGCCCUUAAGCGCGCACACACCGCCCGUCACUCUCCCCAACCCACCCAAAUAACAUACCUAAUACAUUACUCCACCAAAGGGGAGGCAAGUCGUAACAUGGUAAGUGUACCGGAAGGUGCACUUGGAAAAU